UGGGGAAUCUUGGACAAUGGGGGCAACCCUGAUCCAGCCAUGCCGCGUGAGUGAUGAAGGCCUUAGGGUCGUAAAGCUCUUUCGCCUGUGAAGAUAAUGACGGUAGCAGGUAAAGAAACCCCGGCUAACUCCGUGCCAGCAGCCGCGGUAAUACGGAGGGGGUUAGCGUUGUUCGGAAUUACUGGGCGUAAAGCGCACGUAGGCGGACCAGAAAGUUGGGGGUGAAAUCCCGGGGGGCUCAACCCCGGAACUGCCUCCAAAACUAUUGGUUUAGAGUUCGAGAGAGGUGAGUGGAAUUCCAAGUGUAGAGGUGAAAUUCGUAGAUAUUUGGAGGAACACCAGUGGCGAAGGCGGCUCACUGGCUCGAUACUGACGCUGAGGUGCGAAAGUGUGGGGAGCAAACAGGAUUAGAUACCCUGGUAGUCCACACCGUAAAACGAUGGAAUGCCAGUCGUCGGGUAGCAUGCUAUUCGGUGACACACCUAACGGAUUAAGCAUUCCGCCUGGGGAGUACGGUCGCAAGAUUAAAA
This 530-nucleotide ribosomal RNA is filed under the name uncultured bacterium. Its description in RNAcentral is "bacterial SSU rRNA". It matches the Rfam family "Bacterial small subunit ribosomal RNA", at positions 355 to 899 of the family's 1533-position model. The record is from RNAcentral.